RNAcentral lists this long non-coding RNA (355 nucleotides) under Homo sapiens (human). RNAcentral describes it as "non-protein coding lnc-SLC5A9-8:2". The record is from RNAcentral. Lineage: Eukaryota; Metazoa; Chordata; Mammalia; Primates; Hominidae.
UCGCUGCUAGGUAGGAUAUAUCUGCAUCUUGAAAGGAAGAUAAAACAAAAGCCUUCUUUGGAAUAGAUGGAUUUUUGUCACUUUCUGUGUGAACUAAAGUGAUUCAAUGUCUCUUUUGGAUUGCUUCUGCACUUCAAGAACACAAGAUGAAUCACUCAGACCUGAAAAACAGUCUGAAACCAGUAUCCAUCAAUACUUGGAAGAGGAUUUGACAACUUGACUUCUGUCCAUCUUGCAUGGCAUACUCCCACGGGAACACUGGUAACUAUAAAAAUUACAAAUCUGGAAAACUGCAAUGAAGAACGCCUGAAAGCUUUACAGAAAGCCGUGAUUCUAUCCCACUUUUUCCGGCAUC